CAUUCCCGAUGCCAAAAAAGACGUCGGCAUAAAGAACGUCGGAAAUAAGGGUUUUACCGAUGCCAUGAACACCGCGUCGGGAGAAACGUCGAGAAAAUACUCUUUCCCGACGCAUCAAGAAGGCAUCGGCUAAUAGCUAUCGGGAAAACGCAAAUUAAUUUUGAAAAACAAACUAUUCCCGACGUCGUGCACAGUGCGUCGGGAACGACAUCGGGAAUAGGGGUUUUUCCAGACGCUCCGUAACGCAUCGGGAAAACUGUUCAAUAAGCGUCAGGAAUGCCUCUUUUCCCGACGCCUUUUUGGGGAUUUCCCAAUGUCGCGGCACUGCGUCGGAAAAUCCCCUUUUUAAUCGUUUCAGUUCUAUAUUUUAUAGAAUCGAAACUGAGAGGGGAAAAGAGAGAUCCAAGCGUUUCCGCCGCCGUUCCCCGCUACUGUUCCGUCGCCGUCUGCCACUUUAAAAUCAAAUGCUGAAACUCCAAUCCCAGCCUACCCCAGAGGGUAGUCAGCCACUCUCUGAGGAUGAGAUAUGCGAUCAGGUGUUGGGUAGACGGCCAGGCUACUCAAAAGGCCUUUGUUGGGGACCCAAGCCGAAGGCCCGCAGAACGGCGAGUGCAAGCAGUUCGUCGACAUCUUGUUCGCAGUCCACAGAAAAAGAGAUUGAAUUACAAGCUAAACUUCAUGAAGCUUUGGAACGGAUUGAAGUACAAGAGAGAAAUCACCAAGCAUUAGCUUCACAAGUGGAAAGUAUGAAAAAGAUGAUAGAAGAAUUAACUCGUGCACAACAGGGAUCACCACAUGAUCCCUAGCUCUGCGGACCGAAUGAGUAGAAUGACGCGCAUACGCACCUCGUUGGGAGACUUUUUCUUUUGUUUCUUUUUUUUUUUUCUAUUUUGAGAACUAUAUUUAUUGUAGUGAACUUAUUCGUAUUAUUAAUUUUAAUUAUAUUUUUUUAAUUUA
Molecule: long non-coding RNA, 957 nt
Organism: Cucumis melo (muskmelon)
Lineage: Eukaryota; Viridiplantae; Streptophyta; Magnoliopsida; Cucurbitales; Cucurbitaceae
Exons: 3
Source: RefSeq, a predicted model, not a curated record